This 157-nucleotide unclassified non-coding RNA is filed under the name uncultured Hypholoma. RNAcentral's name for it is "sequence contains ITS1". The record is from RNAcentral. Lineage: Eukaryota; Fungi; Basidiomycota; Agaricomycetes; Agaricales; Strophariaceae.
UUGAAUAAAUCUGGCUUGGUUGAUGCUGGUCUUUUCGAAGACAUGUGCACACCUUGUCAUCUUUAUAUCUCCACCUGUGCACCUCUUGUAGACCUGGAUUCAACUUUCCGAGGAAACUCUGAUAAUUAUGUCGUCUGAGCACUAUUAUAAAUAGUUA